AUUGAACGCUGGCGGCAUGCUUUACACAUGCAAGUCGAACGGUAACAGGCCGCAAGGUGCUGACGAGUGGCGAACGGGUGAGUAAUGCAUCGGAACGUGCCCAGUCGUGGGGGACAACGCAGCGAAAGCUGCGCUGAUACCGCAUACGAUCUAUGGAUGAAAGCGGGGGACCGUAAGGCCUCGCGCGAUUGGAGCGGCCGAUGUCAGAUUAGGUAGUUGGUGAGGUAAAGGCUCACCAAGCCAACGAUCUGUAGCUGGUCUGAGAGGACGACCGGCCACAGUGGGACUGAGACACGGCCCAGACUCCUACGGGAGGCAGCAGUGGGGAAUUUUGAACAGUGGGCGCAAGCCUGAUCCAGCAAUGCCGCGUGCAGGAAGAAGGCCUUCGGGUUGUAAACUGCUUUUGUACGGAACGAAACGGUCCGGGCUAAUACCCUGGGCUAAUGACGGUACCGUAAGAAUAAGCACCGGCUAACUACGUGCCAGCCGCCGCCGUAA
This 498-nucleotide ribosomal RNA is filed under the name uncultured bacterium. Its description in RNAcentral is "partial 16S ribosomal RNA". It matches the Rfam family "Bacterial small subunit ribosomal RNA", at positions 29 to 523 of the family's 1533-position model. The record is from RNAcentral.